AAGUCGUAACAAGGUUUCCGUAGGUGAACCUGCGGAAGGAUCAUUACCGAGUUCGUGCCCUACGGGGUAGCUCUCCCACCCCUGUGUACCUGACCGAUGUUGCUUUGGUAGGCUGUCCGACUCGGCCACUGGCGCUCGCUGGUGUAUGCCUGCCAGAGGUCCCCCAACCCCCAAUCCCCGUCCGUCUGAGUCCCUACGAAUCGUGAAAACUUUCAACAACGGAUCUCUUGGCUCUG
This is an unclassified non-coding RNA of 236 nucleotides. The stretch from base 1 to 46 matches the Rfam family "Eukaryotic small subunit ribosomal RNA", at positions 1786 to 1831 of the family's 1831-position model.